Molecule: ribosomal RNA, 449 nt
Filed under: uncultured bacterium
Lineage: Bacteria
Description: bacterial SSU rRNA
Rfam family: Bacterial small subunit ribosomal RNA
Source: RNAcentral
GAUCAUGGCUCAAGACGAACGCUGGCGGCAGGCUUAACACAUGCAAGUCGAAACGCUCGUAGCAAUACGGGAGUGGCGUCGGGUGAGUAACGCGUGGGAACGUGCCCUGAGGUACGGAAUAACUGAGGGAAACUUCAGCUAAUACCGUAUGAGCCCGAGAGGGGGAAAGAUUUAUCGCCUUGGGAGCGGCCCGCGUCGGAUUAGCUAGUUGGUGGGGUAACGGCCUACCAAGGCUUCGAUCCGUAGCUGGUCUGAGAGGACGAUCAGCCACACUGGGACUGAGACACGGCCCAGACUCCUACGGGAGGCAGCAGUGGGGAAUCUUGCGCAAUGGGGGCAACCCUGACGCAGCCAUGCCGCGUGAACGAUGAAGGCCUUAGGGUUGUAAAGUUCUUUUACCCGUGACGAUGAUGACGGUAACGGGGGAAUAAGCUCCGGCUAACUUCGUG